ACAUGACUGUGUCAGAAUUUGCUUGCAAGUUUCUAGAGUUGGGCUGAUAUUCCCCUGAGACAUUGUUGGAUGAAAGCAGGAAGGCUAGAAGGUUCGAGUGGAGUCUCCACCCAAAGAUCAGAUAGCAUUUGUUCGUGCUGGAGUUCAGGACUUAUUCGGCCGUUCUGGCCAAGGCACAGUUAGUGGAGAGGAGCUUUCGCACCCUCUCUCAGGCAGCAGCGAACCUUAGACCCUCAACU
RNAcentral lists this long non-coding RNA (239 nucleotides) under Carica papaya (papaya). RNAcentral describes it as "long non-coding RNA (CPAP_LNC000155)". The record is from RNAcentral. Lineage: Eukaryota; Viridiplantae; Streptophyta; Magnoliopsida; Brassicales; Caricaceae.